Molecule: long non-coding RNA, 599 nt
Organism: Venturia canescens
Lineage: Eukaryota; Metazoa; Arthropoda; Insecta; Hymenoptera; Ichneumonidae
Exons: 3
Source: RefSeq, a predicted model, not a curated record
ACAUAUAGAAAUUAUAGGAAGUUAAAAAUCUUGAAAUUUUCAACAUAAAAAGGCGAUAGUAAAACAACAUUAAUUCGUCUUGAAUCAGCAAUCGUAAUGUGUUAGAGAAACUUGGUAAAACGAGAUGAUAUAACAGACUAUUGGCUCGAGAAGCACGAUGGAACAGCGAGUCGAUGAUGAUCCGACUUUCGAUACUCUCUCACGGUCACGUGUGUACAUUCCGAUGAUCCAAUGGUACGGAAUGAAGUUCCGGAAGUUCAUUAUCUAUUGCUUCAAACGCAAUUAUACCGCACUCGGUUUUAAUCGAGCGUGAUAUUCACCAACGAUUAUAUACGGUGAUUGCUGCGUCAGAAGUGAAUUAGAUCAGGCGUCGAUUAGUUUAAUCGUCCUCGGCCCUUAUCCUUCGACCACGUGGGCUCUAUGAAACUGGGUAAAGGAGAUUGGAUGUUGGAUAAUUCGGGGCAGUAAGAACUGACGGUACAACUUACGUAAGAGUCCAUUAAGUUUUGUACAUCAACCAAUUCUCCGGAGUCGUGCAUGGAGAAAAAUAUGCGUUCUUGGAGAGUAAUUUUACACCGGAUCAACCCGAGAUAUCUGAG